This 1190-nucleotide ribosomal RNA is filed under the name uncultured Bacillus sp. RNAcentral's name for it is "bacterial SSU rRNA". It matches the Rfam family "Bacterial small subunit ribosomal RNA", at positions 173 to 1351 of the family's 1533-position model. The record is from RNAcentral. Lineage: Bacteria; Bacillati; Bacillota; Bacilli; Caryophanales; Bacillaceae.
UAGUUCCUUGAACCGCAUGGUUCAAGGAUGAAAGACGGUUUCGGCUGUCACUUACAGAUGGACCCGCGGCGCAUUAGCUAGUUGGUGGGGUAAUGGCUCACCAAGGCGACGAUGCGUAGCCGACCUGAGAGGGUGAUCGGCCACACUGGGACUGAGACACGGCCCAGACUCCUACGGGAGGCAGCAGUAGGGAAUCUUCCGCAAUGGACGAAAGUCUGACGGAGCAACGCCGCGUGAGUGAUGAAGGUUUUCGGAUCGUAAAGCUCUGUUGUUAGGGAAGAACAAGUGCAAGAGUAACUGCUCGCACCUUGACGGUACCUAACCAGAAAGCCACGGCUAACUACGUGCCAGCAGCCGCGGUAAUACGUAGGUGGCAAGCGUUGUCCGGAAUUAUUGGGCGUAAAGGGCUCGCAGGCGGUUUCUUAAGUCUGAUGUGAAAGCCCCCGGCUCAACCGGGGAGGGUCAUUGGAAACUGGGAAACUUGAGUGCAGAAGAGGAGAGUGGAAUUCCACGUGUAGCGGUGAAAUGCGUAGAGAUGUGGAGGAACACCAGUGGCGAAGGCGACUCUCUGGUCUGUAACUGACGCUGAGGAGCGAAAGCGUGGGGAGCGAACAGGAUUAGAUACCCUGGUAGUCCACGCCGUAAACGAUGAGUGCUAAGUGUUAGGGGGUUUCCGCCCCUUAGUGCUGCAGCUAACGCAUUAAGCACUCCGCCUGGGGAGUACGGUCGCAAGACUGAAACUCAAAGGAAUUGACGGGGGCCCGCACAAGCGGUGGAGCAUGUGGUUUAAUUCGAAGCAACGCGAAGAACCUUACCAGGUCUUGACAUCCUCUGACAACCCUAGAGAUAGGGCUUUCCCUUCGGGGACAGAGUGACAGGUGGUGCAUGGUUGUCGUCAGCUCGUGUCGUGAGAUGUUGGGUUAAGUCCCGCAACGAGCGCAACCCUUGAUCUUAGUUGCCAGCAUUCAGUUGGGCACUCUAAGGUGACUGCCGGUGACAAACCGGAGGAAGGUGGGGAUGACGUCAAAUCAUCAUGCCCCUUAUGACCUGGGCUACACACGUGCUACAAUGGACAGAACAAAGGGCUGCAAGACCGCAAGGUUUAGCCAAUCCCAUAAAUCUGUUCUCAGUUCGGAUCGCAGUCUGCAACUCGACUGCGUGAAGCUGGAAUCGCUAGUAAUCGCGGAUCA